Rhagoletis zephyria (snowberry fruit fly) is the source of this 320-nucleotide long non-coding RNA. RefSeq lists it as uncharacterized. The record is from RefSeq and is a predicted model, not a curated record. NCBI's taxonomy places the organism in Eukaryota, Metazoa, Arthropoda, Insecta, Diptera, Tephritidae.
AAUAAAUAGUACCAAAAUGUUAAAGAUUUGUACCAAAAUCCAUAAAUUUACACCAAUUUAUACACCAGUGUGCUACUUGAGCCGUUCGUUGGAACUGUCAUUCGAUUAAUAUUUGACGAACGUACGCGCGCAAAAUUUGAUACAAUUUUUUGAAAAAUGACCAACUACAAUAACUUAAACUCUACGCAGAUGGAACUCAUGGCGGAGUUCAUGGCCGAACACCCUGACUUGGCAAAGAAUUUACUCCUAAACUGCUCGCAGGGAAAAGCAACGGCCAACCGUUGGUGGGAAAACCUCACCAAACAAUUACAUGUGGUGGA